AAAUUGAAGAGUUUGAUCAUGGCUCAGAUUGAACGCUGGCGGCAGGCCUAACACAUGCAAGUCGAGCGGAAACGAGUUAUCAGAACCUUCGGGGGACGAUAACGGCGUCGAGCGGCGGACGGGUGAGUAAUGCCUAGGAAAUUGCCCUGAUGUGGGGGAUAACCAUUGGAAACGAUGGCUAAUACCGCAUGAUGCCUACGGGCCAAAGAGGGGGACCUUCGGGCCUCUCGCGUCAGGAUAUGCCUAGGUGGGAUUAGCUAGUUGGUGAGGUAAGGGCUCACCAAGGCGACGAUCCCUAGCUGGUCUGAGAGGAUGAUCAGCCACACUGGAACUGCGACACGGUCCAGACUCCUACGGGAGGCAGCAGUGGGGAAUAUUGCACAAUGGGCGCAAGCCCGAUGCAGCCAUGCCGCGUGUGUGAAGAAGG
Molecule: ribosomal RNA, 427 nt
Filed under: Vibrio parahaemolyticus
Lineage: Bacteria; Pseudomonadati; Pseudomonadota; Gammaproteobacteria; Vibrionales; Vibrionaceae
Description: bacterial SSU rRNA
Rfam family: Bacterial small subunit ribosomal RNA
Source: RNAcentral